CCUACGGGUGGCAGCAGUGGGGGAUAUUGCACAAUGGGGGAAACCCUGAUGCAGCGACGCCGCGUGGGCGAAGAAGUAUUUCGGUAUGUAAAGCUCUAUCAGCAGGGAAGAAGAAAUGACGGUAACUGAGUCAGAAGCACCGGCUAAAUACGUGCCAGCAGCCGCGGUAAUACGUAUGGUGCAAGCGUUAUCCGGCAUUACUGGGUGGAAAGGGAGGGCAGGCGGCACGGUAAGGCUGGUGUUGAAGCCCGCGGCCCAACCGCGGGACUGCCUUGGGAACUACUGGGCUGGAGUGCCGGAGAGGUAGGCGGAAUUCCUAGUGUAGCGGUGAAAUGCGUAGAUAUUAGGAGGAACACCAGUGGCGAAGGCGGCCUACUGGACUGUGACUGACGCUGAGGCUCGAAAGCGUGGGGAGCAAACAGGAUUAGAUACCCUUGUAGUC
RNAcentral lists this ribosomal RNA (442 nucleotides) under uncultured bacterium. RNAcentral's name for it is "partial 16S ribosomal RNA". It matches the Rfam family "Bacterial small subunit ribosomal RNA", at positions 338 to 795 of the family's 1533-position model. The record is from RNAcentral.